ACGCACGCUGGCGGCGUGCCUAAUACCUGCAAGUAGAACGCUGAAGGCGGAGCUUGCUUCUCUGGAUGAGUUGCGAACGGGUGAGUAACGCGUAGGUAACCUGCCUGGUAGCGGGGGAUAACUAUUGGAAACGAUAGCUAAUACCGCAUAAUAGUAGAUGUUGCCUGACAUUUGCUUAAAAGGUGCAAUUGCAUCACUACCAGAUGGACCUGCGUUGUAUUAGCUAGUUGGUGGGGUAACGGCCCACCAAGGCGACGAUACAUAGCCGACCUGAGAGGGUGAUCGGCCACACUGGGACUUGGACACGGCCCAGACUCCUACGGGAGGCAGCAGUAGGGAAUCUUCGGCAAUGGACGGAAGUCUGACCGAGCAACGCCGCGUGAGUGAAGAAGGUUUUCGGAUCGUAAAGCUCUGUUGUAAGGGAAGAACGAGUGUGAGAGUGGAAAGUUCACACUGUGACGGUAUCUUACCAGAAAGGGACGGCUAACUACGUG
RNAcentral lists this ribosomal RNA (494 nucleotides) under uncultured bacterium. Its description in RNAcentral is "partial 16S ribosomal RNA". It matches the Rfam family "Bacterial small subunit ribosomal RNA", at positions 29 to 507 of the family's 1533-position model. The record is from RNAcentral.